RNAcentral lists this ribosomal RNA (396 nucleotides) under Parablennius incognitus. RNAcentral describes it as "partial 12S ribosomal RNA". It matches the Rfam family "Bacterial small subunit ribosomal RNA", at positions 791 to 1385 of the family's 1533-position model. The record is from RNAcentral. Lineage: Eukaryota; Metazoa; Chordata; Actinopteri; Blenniiformes; Blenniidae.
UAUGCUUAGCCGUAAACCUAGAUAACUAUAUUACCUUUAUUAUCCGCCCGGGUACUACGAGCACCAGCUUAAAACCCAAAGGACUUGGCGGUGCUUAACAACCCCCUAGAGGAGCCUGUUCUGUAAUCGAUAACCCUCGUUAAACCUCACCCCUUUUUGUCUAUCCCGCCUAUAUACCGCCGUCGUCAGCUUACCCUGUGAAAGACCAAUAGUAAGCACAAUUAGUUUAAACCCAAAACGUCAGGUCAAGGUGUAGCAUAUAAAGGGGGAAGAAAUGGGCUACAUUUCCUGCCAUCAGGAUAAUACGAAAAGUGCUCUGAAAUUAAGCACUAGAAGGAGGAUUUAGUAGUAAGUGAAGAUCAGACUGCUCCACUGAAACUGGCCCCUAAGCGCGCA